This 414-nucleotide ribosomal RNA is filed under the name Theileria annulata. RNAcentral describes it as "SSU rRNA". It matches the Rfam family "Eukaryotic small subunit ribosomal RNA", at positions 469 to 923 of the family's 1831-position model. The record is from RNAcentral. Lineage: Eukaryota; Apicomplexa; Aconoidasida; Piroplasmida; Theileriidae.
GACAAGAAAUAACAAUACGGGGCUUAAAGUCUUGUAAUCGGAAUGAUGGGAAUUUAAACCUCUUCCAGAGUAUCAAUUGGAGGGCAAGUCUGGUGCCAGCAGCCGCGGUAAUUCCAGCUCCAAUAGCGUAUAUUAAAAUUGUUGCAGUUAAAAAGCUCGUAGUUGAAUUUCUGCUGCAUUGCUUGUGUCCCUCUGGGGUCUGUGCAUGUGGCUUUUUUCGGACGGAGUUUCUUUGUCUGAAUGUUUACUUUGAGAAAAUUAGAGUGCUCAAAGCAGGCUUUCGCCUUGAAUAGUUUAGCAUGGAAUAAUAAAGUAGGACUUUGGUUCUAUUUUGUUGGUUUUAGGUACCAAAGUAAUGGUUAAUAGGAACAGUUGGGGGCAUUCGUAUUUAACUGUCAGAGGUGAAAUUCUUAG